GGGGGGAAUCUUAGACAAUGGGCGCAAGCCUGAUCUAGCCAUGCCGCGUGAGCGAUGAAGGCCUUAGGGUUGUAAAGCUCUUUCAGCUGGGAAGAUAAUGACGGUACUAGCAGACGAAGCCCCGGCUAACUCCGUGCCAGCAGCCGCGGUAAUACGGAGGGGGCUCGCGUUGUUCGGAAUUACUGGGCGUAAAGCGCACGUAGGCGGAUCAGAAAGUGAGAGGUGAAAGCCCAGGGCUCAACCUUGGAAAUGCCUGUGAAACUCGAGAUCGUGAGGUCGAGAGAGGUGAGUGGAACUCCGAGUGUAGAGGUGAAAUUCGUAGAUAUUCGGAGGAACACCAGUGGCGAAGGCGGCUCACUGGCUCGAUACUGACGCUGAGGUGCGAAAGCGUGGGGAGCAAACAGGAUUAGAAACCCCGGUAGUCC
This 425-nucleotide ribosomal RNA is filed under the name uncultured bacterium. RNAcentral's name for it is "partial 16S ribosomal RNA". It matches the Rfam family "Bacterial small subunit ribosomal RNA", at positions 354 to 796 of the family's 1533-position model. The record is from RNAcentral.